GAACUAGCUCAGGAACUUUUCUUAGAAGAGGACAUGACGAAGUUGUCGAGGUGAUUGAGAAAAGG
RNAcentral lists this small RNA (65 nucleotides) under Arabidopsis thaliana (thale cress). RNAcentral's name for it is "ATSL103880". The record is from RNAcentral. Lineage: Eukaryota; Viridiplantae; Streptophyta; Magnoliopsida; Brassicales; Brassicaceae.